GUUUGAAUAUUCGCUGUUUCUUUUCCCUUGACAGCUCACCGAACACUUCAGUUGCAUAAACUAGAUGGCGUUUAUGAAUGUUCACAUUAUAACAUAAAUAUGGCAGGCACAACAAAAACAUGAACCAAUGCCGUGUGACGAGAUGUAAAAAGCACAAUACUCCUUGAGUGAUAAACUCUGGCAAUGUAAUGCUGUUUAUUUUGGUUGCUAACUCAUACGGGUUGAUGUAAUCAGUCUCUAAAUC
This 244-nucleotide long non-coding RNA is filed under the name Helianthus annuus (common sunflower). RNAcentral's name for it is "sRNA HanXRQr2_Chr03g0137911". Lineage: Eukaryota; Viridiplantae; Streptophyta; Magnoliopsida; Asterales; Asteraceae. The record is from RNAcentral.